Molecule: RNA transcript, 13476 nt
Organism: Mirounga angustirostris (Northern elephant seal)
Lineage: Eukaryota; Metazoa; Chordata; Mammalia; Carnivora; Phocidae
Gene: SPTSSA
Gene name: serine palmitoyltransferase small subunit A
Exons: 4
Source: RefSeq, a predicted model, not a curated record
CUCUCUCGCACUUCGGCCGCGCCUGCCUUUGGUUCAGUCCCCUGGUCUUUGGGAGGCAGGGGCCGUGUUAAGUGGAGCAGAUCGUUCCCGGCUGGGACGCCUUUGACCUUUAACUGUCCCUGAGUUAGCUGACUUUGGUCCUAAUGAGAAUGCUAACCGGUUUACCAGACUUUUAAUCAUGUGAGCUUGUGUUUGUGACACCCCAGUAUAGUUUUUGAAAACAGUUUGUUGUACCUUUUUGGUUUUCGGGAUGGGGAGUUUAGAGACUGUGUUUUAUUCAUUAAGUUGCUGUUUUCACAGUCCAUAGAAGUCGAGCCAAGAAAGGAAUUUGUGGUUAAUUAUAGACAGGGUUUGAAACUGUGUUUUCAUAGAUAGCUGAUAGAUACUUGUUAAUGAUACUGAAGGUUCACUAUGAGCCAAGCAAUUGUGCUAGCGUUUUGCCUGUACCUCAACUCAUCUUAACUUCAUAACAACCUCACUGAAUACGCAAGGUUGUGGAAAUAGGCUUUCUGAAGUCUGUGAUGUUUGUGUCAUUUGUCUGUGUUGACAUCCCUUGAUAUUCUUGCAGAAUACAUACUAAUAAUGAGCUGUAACUUUCUUCUUCUUUUUUAAUUUGGGGGCCAAUAUGGAACAUUUCACACAACAUGCUUACUUCAUACAGGCUCCACCCUUUUCUUUAAAUUGAAGUGUAGUUAACACAAUGUUACUUUAGUUUUUUUUUUUUUUUUAAGAUUUUAUUUAUUUAUUUGACAGAGAGCGAGAGAGGGAACACAAGCAGGGGGGAGUGGGAGAGGGAGAAGCAGGCUUCCCGCGGAGCAGGGAGCCCGAUGCGGGGCUCGAUGCGGGGCUCGAUCCCAGGACCCUGAGAUCAUGACCUGAGCGAAGGCAGACACUUAACGACUGAGCCACCCAGGCGCCCCAGUGUUACUUUAGUUUUAGGUAUACAACAGUGAUUUGACAACACGGUAUGUUACACGGCCUCCUUUUCAAUGUGGUUUAGUUUGGAGUAGCUUCAGAACAGCUUUGCAAAUGCAUUGUUGCAUUCAGGUGGAGUGACUGAGAUGAUUUCAUUCCAAGCAUUAAUAAGUGUGUUUAUUUGUAUUGAACUAGCAUAAGAUUGUACUCAAAGCUGUUUUUUGUUUCAACACUUUGGAGGAAUCUUAAGCUGCUUACAAGGAAAUUUAUUUAUUUUUAUUAUUUGUUUCCAAAGCUUUCCAGAACUUAAGAACCAUAAUUCGUAUUUUGGUUUUAAAGUCUGAAUGUAAAGUAUGUUCUGAAUUCCUGCACCAUUUAUUUGUAGUUGCAGUUCUAUAGGUUAGAGCUCAUGAAGUUAUCUUUCUAAAAUGUAUACUAAAAUAUAGAAGCACAUAUUCUUGACUCAGUUAAAAUCAUAUUUUUUAAAGGGGGGAGGGGCAGAGGGAGAGGGAGACUUUUUUCUUUUUUAAAGAUUUUACUUAUUUAUUUGAGAGAGAGAACGAGCGCACAAAGGGAGAGUGAGAGGGAGAAACAGACUCCCCUUUGAGCAGAGAGCUUGAUGUGGUACUUGAUCCCAGGACCCUGAGAUCAUGACCUGAGCUGAAGGCAGACACUUUAAGCGUUAGAGCCACCCAGGCACCUGAGAGAGAGUCUUUUUUUUUUUUUUAAGAUUUUAUUUAUUUAUUUGACAGAGAAACAGCGAGAGAGGGAACACAAGCAGGGGGAGUGGGAGAGGGAGAAGCAGGCUUCCCGCCGAGCAGGGAGCCCGAGGCGGGACUCGAUCUAGGACCCUGGGAUCAUGACCUGAGCUGAAGGCAGAUGCUCAACUGACUGAACCACCCAAGCGUCCCAAAGAUUUUAUUUAUUUGUCAGAGAGAGAGAGAGAGAGAGAGAGCUUGAGCACAAGCAGGGGGAAUGGUAGAUGGAGGGAGAAGCAGGCUCCCUGCUGAUCAAGGAACCCGAUGUGGGGCUCGAUUCCAGGACCCUGGGAUUACGACCUGAGCUGAAGGCAGACACUUAACCAACUGAGCCACUCAGGUGUCCCCUUUUUUCUUUUUAAAAAAAUAUGUGUAUUUAUUUACUUAAGUAAUCUUUACACCCAACGUGGGGCUCAAACUCACAACCCUGAGAUCAAGAGCUACAUGCUCUUCCAACUGAGCCAGCCAGGUGUCCCUCAGUUAAAAUCAUCUUAAAAGUGAAUUUAAACAAUGUUGCACUAAAUUGACACUCUUUAUGUCAGAAGUUGAAUGUAGAGUCCACUGCCAGUCUAUUAAAUCUGUUACACUGAAAAGCUUUUGUUUGCAUGUGGAUACAUGCUACAGUGUCGAUGGUAUUAAGGUUUUUCUGUACUACAUAGUAAUAGUAACAGUGUCCUUUAAAUAACCUAGAUGAUGGCUUUUUUGGGGGGAUGGAGGAAUAAAUUAUGUACUGAAAUUUAGUGCUUCUAUAGAUUUUUCCUUUUGAAGCUUUUGACUUGUCGUUGGUUUAUGUGACCAAGUGAUUUCAGUUUUUAAGAAACUAGUGAGAACAGCAACCAACUAGCAUUGGGUCCUAUAGAAUCCUAUGGUUUUAAACCUAAGAUUAAAAAAAAAAGUUAUUUCAAGGAUCACAUGAUUGAAUUAACCCAAGGUAGAAAUGUAAUCCUUUUGACAUAAGACGAUCUUAAAUUACUAUAAGCUGUUAUAUUAUUCUAACAACUUCUAGAGUUAAAGUCAGGCAUUUAUUAUUGUAUAGUUUGAAACAUCUAUUUGGGAUGAAUCUGUAUUCUAGCUUGGAGGAAGGAACUGAAUGAGAAAGCUGGAUUCCCCCCCACUCAUUAGGAGCUUUAAUUACUGCAAAGUAGUUUGAAUUUCAUAAAUUUGUUAAUAAUUAGUAAGCUUCACAUAGAACAAUUUUGUGGCUAGUUACAUGGUUUUGGGAAAGAGACAUACUUUCUUAAAAAUAACAUUGAAUAUGGUUAUCACUGUUAGCAACCUUAAAUUUCAUGUAAGAAAAAUUUGUCUGGCUAUCUGAGAAAUGGUCUCUGAGUUAGAAGGUCCUAAGAGAAAGACUCUAGAAGAAGGUAAUCGCUGCUAUAACUCCUUUAAUAAAUUGAAGUCCCUGUUUUAGAGAACACCGAUAGCUCGCUAUUAACUACUUCUGCACAUUUUCUAGGGGAUCCUUGAACAUCUGAAUUUGCUUCUCUGUUUCUCCAGAUCAAAUAGCUACAAGUUAAUUAUCAGUUGUUGUGAAUUGAAAGGUCAAUCCCAGUUGAAUAUGAGGGUUUUUGAAAUUAAGUAAGGAAAUUGUGAGUCAAAAAAAUUAUUUUCAGUAUGUUUUUAAGGAAAUGCAUCUGUGUCAAGUCAGGCACACUGUAAAUGGUUCUUGGAACAGCAAGAUUUAAAAAUCCGUUUUGUAAAUCCUUCCAUGCUAGGGCCCAUAUCCUAUUUUUUUCUCUUAUCAUCUGCUUUCUGUUACCACAUUUGAAAUGAUACAUUAGCUUUUUUUUUUUUUAAAGAUUUAUUUAUUUAUUUGACAGAGAGAGAGAUAGAGAGAGCAGGAACACAAGCAGCGGGAGUGGGAGAAGCAGGCUUCCCGCCAAGCAGGGAGCCCGAUUCGGGGCUCGAUCCCAGGACCCUGGGAUCAUGACCUGAGCUGAAGGCAGUCGCUUAACGACUGAGCCACCCAGGCGCCCUGAUACAUUAGCUUUUGCUUUGCAGCCAGUAUUUGAACUUUUUCCAUGUGCAGACAUGGUUUCUAUAGUGCAGGAAAAGGGGAUGUGACACGUGAUCAAAACAGAAGGCAGCAAUAAAGUGAAAUCAAAUAAGUGGAGUAGUAUUACAGUGAGUGCUGCAGCAGACCUGUGCAGACUGAAAUCCAUUGAACUCUUUGCUCCAGAGUAGAAGUUGUAACACGUUUCUAAAGCCCCCUUUCCCUACUGGCAGCCAUCAGUGGGAAAGGAGACCAGGUUUUGUAACCAAGACAGGUUUUGUAACCAGUGAGACACUCCCUGUAGUGCCUCACUGAGUAACAUUGUAACCAUGCUAUUCAGGAGAGGUGUGGAAAAAUGAAAAAUACCUUGUUAAGAUAUUUGAAGCAGGGGCGCUUGGGUGGCUCAGUCCUUAGGCGACUGCCUUCGGCUCAGGUCAUGAUCCCAGGGUCCUGGGAUUGAGCCCCGCAUUGGGCUCCCUGCUCAGCGGGAAGCCUGCUUUUCCCUCUCCCACUCCCCCUGCUUGUGUUCCUUCUCCCGCUUUGUCUCUCUAUGUCAAAUAAAUACAUAAAAUCUCAAAAAAAAAAAAAAAGAUUCUUUGAAGCAUAAGUAAGAGAUUAACCUUUAAAAAUUAAAUUUAUUCUGUAGUCACUGAGCUAUAUUUGCUAUCUCUCUAUGGCUUCUUAUGUUUCCAUGGCAUUUUAUACUUCUAUUUAUUUUAAGCAAAAUGUAGGCAAUUUUUGUUUUUUGUUAGGAAUUAGAUUCUCCCUGAAAGACAGUCUAUGUUUAUUUGUUUCUUCAAGGAAAUUAAAAAAAAUUUAUUUUUUUGGGGAGAGAGAGAGCACGUGUGCACACACACACCAGUGGGGGGUGGGGUAGGGCUGAGGCUGAGGGAGAGGGAGAGAGAGAAUCUCAAGCUCAGUGUGGAGCUCCAUGCGGGGCUCGAUCCCAGGACCCCGGGAUCAUGACCUGAGCUGAAGUCAGACGCUUAACCGACUGAGCCACCCAGGUGUCCCAGGAAAGAAUUAUUUUAAGACCACAGUGCUGGACACAGAUAGUGCUUGAGAAACAUUUGUUUGUUUAUUGAUUUGUCAUUUCAAAGGAACUGCAGAAGUAUUGGGGAAUGGUAAAAGAGACCUGAUUUUAAACUACUUUUAGGGUAGCUUUGGAACUUGGCCGUUCCUGAUGAACAGAAUUCAGUUCUUAGAAUUCAGAUUUUAAGAAGUAGAAAAUGCUAUAGGUUGAAAGAACUUCUUUGAUUUAUUUUAACAGAUGUUAACAAAAUUGGCAUUUUUAUGUCUACUCAUUUGUAAAAUAUGCAUGCUUGCUGAAUUCUGCAUUUCACAAAUAUUAGGUACUUCCUAAUUGCCAGAUACUAUUCUAGAUAGUGGGGGUAUGACUGAACAAAACAGAUAAAAAUAUUUAUUCUAAUGCCACUAGAUAGGUUAAAAAUACAGACUAUUAGAUUGUUUUAGCUGUUGCGGAAAAAAAUAAAACAAGAGGAUAGGAAGUAAGGAAGAAUGAGUGUUUUUCAAUUUUAGCUAGAGUGGUCAGGAAGGGCAUUUAGAAAGAUUUAAGCAGGGAGAGAAUUCCGGGAGAAUGAGCAUUGUAGGCAGAAGGGACAGUAAAUAUGAAUGCCCGAAAGCAUUUCUGACCAGCAUGUCUGUCCUGUUUCACAGAUAGCCCACAGGCCAGUGUGGCUGGGGCAGAGUGAAGGAGGGUAUCCACCUAGUAGGAGAGAAGAUCAGAUCCUGUAGGAUCUCCUAGGCAUUGGAUUCAGAGUUCAGGAGAUAGGGGAGGUACUCAUACCUUUUGAGUAGAGUCACUCAAAUCCAGUAAGAAUUUUCUCAUUGAUAUUUUAAUAUUUAAUAAACUAGGAAAAUAAGCCACAAAAACAUACAUUUCUCCAUGAGACUUGAAGUUCUUUUCAUUUUGAAUGGAAAAAAAAAAAUUACAACCUGGAAGUGUUUUGUUUUGUUUUUUUUUCAUUUUUAACAUACUGAGUUCUAGAACAAGUUUUCAAGAAGAUAGACUUCAAGGAAAUUAGAGCCAGGUUUUAGGGAAAAUUGGGAUUUAUACAUGUUCUCAGAUGGAUCCACCCUGGGGUCAUUGCAGUAGAGUGAGCUGGGCAAAAAGUGCCUUCCUUGGGACACAGGGCAGGAAGAACACGGGCACUGGGAGUGCUCAGAGAACUUUCAGGGAGGUAUUUGAGUGUUUUGGUUUUUUUGUUUUGUUUUUGUUCCCCCCCCGUGGGAAGAAGGUGUGGACUGGGGUGCAGAGGUGUGCUGGGAUGAUGAGGAUGCCAGGCUGACUGCCUGGAACAGGGAUUCUUCAAGGCAGUUUGGGUGUGAAAUAAAGUUGAAGAAACAGGUUAGGGCCAUUUAUUAAUUCACCAGAUACUUCUGUGUGCACACCUGGUACCAGAUGCUGGCUUAGGUGCUUGCAGUAAAUCUGAGCAAAUGAGACAAAGAUCCUUGUCCUUGUGGAACUUUUAUAAUUGAAUUAUAUAGUAUGCUAGGUGGUAAGCAUUAUGGAAAACAGAAAAGUAGGUCAGUGCACAUUUCUUAUCCCACUGACCUACUUUUCUGUUUUACAUAAUGCUGUUUUUAAAGAGGAUAUUGGGAGAGGCUCUGUUGAGAAGGGAUAUUUGAGUAAAACAUAAAGGAAGUGAUGGAGUUAGCCGGGUAGAAAUCUGAGGGAAGAGCAUAGCUGGCAGAGGGAACAGCCAGUGCAAAGUUCCUGAGUCCAGAGCCUGCCUGGCAUGUGUGAAGGCCACCACUGAGGCAGGUAUGAUUGGAGCAGUAGGUGAUGAGGUCAGAGUCAGUGAGAUCCUGGAGGAUUUUUUUUUUUUUUUAAUUUUAUUUAUUUGAGGGGGAGAGAGAGAGCAUGCGUGUGCGCAUGGGGGGUGAGGGGCUGAGGGAGAGGGAAGAAGACUUCGCUGAGCUGCGAGUCCGAUUUGGGGCUCGAUCUCAGGACCCUGAGCUAAUGACCUGAGCUGAAGGCAGACGCUUACCCGAUUGAGCCACCCAGGCGCCCCUUGGCUUUUAAUCUUAGUUGAAAAGGAUGCCCUUGGAAGGUUUUUGAGAGAGGAGUGAUCUGAUCUGGUUUUAAGUUUGAAAAAGUUUACUUUGGCUGCAGAUUUGGGAUAGUUUAAGGGUGGUGAGCGGAGGCAAGGGUAGAAGCAAAGGUAGGUAUUUUGGAUUGAGGUAGGCUUUGCAUGAUAAUGAAAACAAGAGCAUUACAAAAUUCAUGGUGUAUGCUAUUUCAGUAGCAGCUAAAUUAAUUAAUUUUCUUAGAUUUCUGCUGUAUCCUCAAGUGCUCACAGCUAGAAUUGAGAAUUUUUCUUUGCAUCUCAAUAUACUAAAAUAUUUAAGACUGAAUUCUUAAAUAAAAAUAGAUUACACAUCCUCAUGGUUCAAAACUCAAAAGGCACCAAAGAGGUAGCUGGUCAAAGUCUUCUUUCCACCCCAGCCACGCCGGGACAACCAGUGUCACCAGUUUCCUGCGCCUCUCUCCUGAAGCAUCUGUGAACACCUGGAAAAGGCUCUUGAUCCAUGUUUAGUAGUGCCCGGUUUGGCGAAACCAGAGUUUUUAUAAGGCAGUAGAGAGGUGUUUGAGGAAUGUAUUUUGCUAUGCCACUUCUGGAGGUAUUAAUAAUUAAGUUAGUAUCUCUUUCUGUGUAUUUCCUAUGUAACAUAUUUUUGUAAAUAAACACAACAAACAAAACAAAAUUGACUAAUAAGAACCCUAUAUUUUGGCCCGGGGGUUUGGGGGAGUGGGGGGGUGGGGACCUUUAGAUCACUUUCUCUGUCUUUGGCAGAGCUUCCUCUGAGCUCUUCAGUAGAAGGAUUACCAUAAAAACUCCAUUUCACCAGUCUUCCACUAGAACUUUCUUCUUAAUGAGUGCCUCUUGAAGAAAAUGUACAUACAGAAUUCUUUGACACUUUAAAUAGAGUUCCAGUAAAAAUCAGCAUGUGGUUUGAUGAUUCGGCAAAAUUCCUAAUAUCAGAGAAAGUUACUUCUAGAAAAAUAUUCUUAGCAAAUCAGCUUAACAAAUAUGAUUUCAGAAUAAUGUUGAAAUAACCUGAACAUUGCCUUCAAACUUAAGAAAAAAAUAAUUUCUCCUCAAUAAUCUUCAGUCUUCUAUAUUUCAUGCCAUUUCCUUUUGAACUUCCUUUUGUAGAAAUGAAUGCAGUCUCUGUUACAAGGGAGGGAUGAAGGUGGGGGGGGAAGCAGAGGUAAGAAUAAUUGUAACUGAGAAAUUAAAACUUGCAAGCCCCCCCCCCCCAGAGGUACUCAGACGUUUUGUUUGUGUAGCCCCUCCAAGAACAAAAAGCAUGUUAUGUUGGCGAACAUCUUGUUCAUUUAAGUUAACAUCAGAAAUAUUUCAUAGUAAAUUUAGACAGUUAAAAGGAUUUCACUCUUUGCUUAUGUGUAUUUUAUUAUUGCGUAUUUUUGUUAAAACCUUAAAGCUGUUUUUUCUUGUACAAUUCUUAGAAAAUGUUCAUCACAUACCCUAAUUGGCAAAGCCAGCCCUCAUUGUGAAGCCAAAUAGGCAAAGCCAACCUUAAUUCCUGAAAAGUUCAGUGCCAUUUUUCUGCUCAAAAAAUUGUUACAUAAACACUUUUAAUCCAGUCUCCCCCCCCACUUUUUUUUUUUUUUUUAAUUUAUGACUUGAUUUGACAAUCAUUGGUUAGUUCUCAUCCAUAUUGACUGUGGAUUUUUGUAAGUGGUAACAGGUACAUAGAUAACCAAUGUAUUAAGCUUGUUUGGUGAAUCUUCAUCCUCACUGUUCCCUGGACCCCCACACAUGGGUAUGCUGCGGGACGUUUCUCACUCCUUUGACUCAGACAGCUUUGUUGAGCCUGAUCUCAGUCUGCACGUGUGGAGUUCCAUCUUGUUCGUGGCUAAUUUCCAGAUUUUUUUUGAGUGCCUGAAGGGUAUGCUUCUUGAAGCCCAUUCCAUGAGUGCACUUGUAACUGUUGACAGUGUAUUUUCUGGUCACUACCUCACUGAUGGCAAAAGGCCCUUCUUCUCGCCAUCCUUCUUUGUAGGAGUCAUUCUGUCAGACCCAGGCUGGAAAGGUGUCUCACUUCUGAAUUUAAGUUAUUAGAUGAAUAGAUAGGUGAGGCUUGUAGCUGUGCCAGGAGUUUAUUACCUGAAUGCAAUAAAGUGCAACUCAAGUUCGUUAUUAUUCCUUUGUUUGCUGUCCCAGAAGUUAUUUUAUACCCCGGGGAAAUGCAUAAUUGUAAGAUUCAGGAAGUAAAGUGGGAGAAAUGAAGUUGUACGGGGUCUGGGAAGGGAAACUAGCCGAUGACCGUAAUUGUCAGAUCAGUUUUAGGAGAGGGUAUAUUGGUAGCUGAAGCUCUGUAAACCCUUCCCCUGACCCCAUCCGAACCUUCUGGAACGUCUUCUUUGUCUAUCUGAGGCUCAUGGGCUUUAGUUCAAAGACAGCUGCUCUAGCCUGUUUUACCCUGUCUUGAUGUUUGGUGGGCUAAGUGAAAAAGUUAGAAUAGCCCUUAUCUAUACUCCUUAGGAUAUUUAAUUUCUUCUUUAGUAGCUUUCAGGAAAGGUGGAAGAUGAAGAAAAUGCUACACAAGAACUGAGUGGUCUGUAAAAGGAUGGGCAGGGGAAGUCGCACAAGGUUGGCAGUGGGACGGAACACACAGAUUCUGCAGUGUUUCAGCAUGUGGUACCAGUGAUUUGUCAGUAGAGGGGACUGUGGCUCAUUAUAUAUAUAUUUAAUUAAUUAAUUAAUUUUUAAGUAAGCUCUAUGCCCAGUGUGGUGCUUGAAUUUGUGACUCUGAUAAAGUCACAUGCUCUACAGAAGGAGCCAGCCAGGCGCCCCUUCCACUACUUCACAUUCUUUUUUUUGGUAAAUUUUUUUUUAAAGAUUUUAUUUAUAUAUUUGAGAGAGAGAGAAUGAGAUAGAGAGCAUGAGAGGGGGGAGGGUCAGAGAGAGGCAGACUCCCCGCCGAGCAGGGAGCCCGACGUGGGACUCGAUCCCGGGACUCCAGGAUCAUGACCUGAGCCGAAGGCAGUCGCUUAACCAACUGAGCCACCCAGGUGCCCCCACUACUUCACAUUCUUAAAGACUUUGUGACCCACUCCACCCCCUAGGCUUUGAGUGUUGUAACAUUUAUUGUACUUAGGAGCAAAGAUAAGAUAGAUUCUUGGCUUAAAAAAAAAAAAAACUCCAAUGUUCAAAUUUAAUAAUUAAAACUAUAUGUUCCAGAAGAUCUACUUAAGCAUAUAUUCUUUUCAUAAAUUGAAAUGCUUAAAAAAUAGUAGUUAAGAAAUGAUAGAUAUUAUUUAUGAUCAGUAGCUAUGAAAAGUAGAAUUACUACUAAAACAAGACUUCUGGCCCUCAUGUGUGCCUGGAAAAUCCCCAAAUAACAGGAUUUAUGGGAAAAGAGCUAGAGCAGACCAUCAAAAUCAGUGCAACUUAGUCACCAAGCACUAACCAAAACAAUAAUUGGCAUCUUGGGGGAUAACUUGGAUAGCCCAGGCAGGCAGGCUGGAGGCUGCCUCAGGGGACAUUAAAAAUGUCUGGACCGAAUUGACUGGAAAUGCUUCGGUAGGGCAGAUGGUGUGGGCUGCCAUUGAGGAGGUGCAGGAGGGCUGUGCUGGUCAGGAGGUGUGCCUUUCUGGAGAGGGAGCCUGGCUGCAGAUGCUGACUGAAUUUUCUUAAGAUAGAGCUCAAAGGAUUCCUGUCUGUGCAGCAACCGAGCUAAAAGAUGUUUCUUGAAGAAGAUUAUAAUUCUCCCACUAAUCUGGCUCCCCUAAUUUAUGAAAAAUCCCAUAGGAAACAAUGCAGCUCCUAUGCUAUACUAGUGUGAGCUAGUAUGAUGUGAGCUAGCUGAUGUCGCAGAGAUGUAUUACAGCAGAACAGAUUAGAUUUCAGAACAGGCUGGGAUUCUCCCCCCUCCAUCUCCCCCGACCCUGGGGCUUCAAAUCUGCCUGAAAUUAAUAGACACUUUAAUUAUAAAGGUGCACAGUGAAACGUAGCCUUGGUGUCUCUGGACUCAGAGCUGCAAACCAGCUCCAGGACUGGUUCGGAGUUGAACAUGAUCAUUAGUGGUUUCAGCAGCAUGCUUUUUUGUUUGUUUAGUUUUUAAAGAGUUUGUCAUCAAAUUGUAGCUUCUAAAAUGAAUUUCUAUACUUUGGUAUAAUCAACACACUACAGAAAGGCUGGAGAAUGUGUUUUGCUUGCUAAACACUAACUUCUGAUGCUGAGGUGAUGUCCUUUAAUAUGACCCACAAAUACCAAAUUAGUUAAUAUAUACAGACUGUAACAGUAUCAAUAUCUUCUACUUGCUUUCAUUUUAAGUAUCAAGAGAUAGUUGAUAUGUUUGGUAACAAUAUACUUUCUUAAUACUUCUCUUGGUGAUGAUUUUUUUUUUUUUUACUAAGUUUUUAAUUUUAUUUGAGUAUAGUUAACAUACAGUGUUACAUUAGUUUCUGGCCUACAAUAUAGUGAUUCAGUAAUUCUACACAUUACUCAAUGCUCAUCAUGAUAAAUGUACUCAUUUUAAGAUUUUGUUUAUUUAUUGAGAGAGAGUGAGAGAGAGUGUGUGUGAUUGGGGGUGGGGGGGAGGGAGAGAGAAUCCCAAGCAGAUUCUGCUCUGAGCAUGGAGCCCGACGUGGGACUUGAUCGCAUGACCCCGAGACCACGACCUGAGCUGAAACCAAGAGUUGGCCAACUGAUUGAGCUGCCCAGGUGCCCCAAUAAAUGUACUCGUUAACCCCUAUCACCUAUUUCACCCAUCCCCCACCCACCUCCUCUCUGGUAACCAUCAGUUUGCUCUCUGUAGUUAAGGGUCUAUUUCUUGGUUUGUCUCUCUCCCCUUUUUUGUUACUCUCCUUUGCUCGUUUGAUUUCUUAAAUUCCACCAAUGAGUGAAAUCAUACAGUAUUUGUCUUUCUCUGAUUUGCUUAUUUCACUUAGCAUUAUACUCUCUAGCUCUACCCAUGUUGCAAAUGGCUAGAUUUCAUUCUUUUUUUUAUGGCUGAAUAAUAUUCCAUUAUAUAUGUGUGUGUGUGUGUGUAUGCAUACACACAUAUAUACGUACAUGUCCAUACACACACAUGCACAUACCCCACAUCUUCUUUAUCUGUUCAUCUGUCAAUGGACACUUGGGCUGCUUCCAGAAUUUGGCGAUUGUAAAUAAUGCUGCAGUAAAUGUAGGGGUGCAUAUAUCCCUUUGAAUUAGUGUUUUUAUAUUUUUUGGGUAAAUUCCCCGUAGUGCAAUUACUGUAUCAUAGGGUACUUCCAUUUUUAACUUUUUGAGGAAUCUCCAUACUGUCUUCCACAGUGGCUGUACCAGUUUGCAUUCCCACCAACGGUGCACAAGUGUUCCUGUUUCUCCACAUCCUCGCCAACACUUGUUUCUUGUGUUUUUGAUUUUAGCCAUUUUGACAGAUGUUGGAGAUACAAAAAAGAGAAGACAUUGUUCCUGUGCUCAAGAAGUUGAUAAUCUGGAUGAGAUUAUGAGAUACAUAAAAAAUAGAGAGAGAGAUCACGAGACCAGGAACACAAGCAGGGGGAGUGGGAGAGGGAGAAGCAGACUCCCCGCGGAGCAGGGAGCCCGAUGUGGGACUCGAUCCCAGGACCCUGGGAUCAUGACCUGAGCCGAAGGCAGACGCUCAACGACUGAGCCACCCAGAUUCCAUGCUGGUUUCCAUCGUGGGGAUGGCCCUGUACACGGGAUAUGUCUUCAUGCCUCAGCACAUCAUGGCAAUCCUGCACUACUUUGAGAUUGUGCAAUGACCAAGAUGUGACCAGAACUGAGCGGCUCCUUGGGGAAGAACCACCCUCUGAAGAUGGAAUGAAACCUCAUCAGCUGUCAUAAGAAACUCUACUAGAUGUCAACAUAACCAACCCUAUGAAUAUAAAGACUAAAAUUCAUGAGUAGAACAGGAAAAUACUCCUGACUCAUGUGUUGUGUUCUUUAUUUUUAAUUUUAAAAGAGGCUCUUAUAUAGUAGUUUUUGUCUAUUUUAACAUUGUAAUCAUUUGUACUUUGAUAUCAGUAUUUUCUUAACCUUUGUGACUGUUUCAAUAUUACCCUGUGAAAGCUUUUCUUAAUGUAAUUUUGAGUACAUUUUAAUUGCCUUCUAUUUCUAAAACCCAAAGUCAUUAGUUGGGCUUUACUGUUCUUGCUAUUGUAUGGCACAUACAUCUGCCUGGAUAUAUUUCUACUCUUGACCAAAGUUUUGUAAGAAACAAUACAAGAUUUGGGGCAGGGGGAUGGGGAGGGGAGGAUAUUUUAUUGAGAACUAUUUACAAAAGACUAUCUGUAAGUUUGAACUCAGGAGUACAGUUUUAGCUAUCUAGACUCUACUCUUAACAGCUUUUGCUUUAAAACUAUUUAAGUAUUUCUUAACAAUGAAAAAGAAAGAUCUUGCUAAAGUUAAAAUAAGGAACAUUUCACCUUUUAAAUAUUUAAUUCUUAUGUGGACUCAUUUCCAGAAAACUUUGGUGAUGGUUCUUAUGACAAAAGGUGGUUAAAUAGCAUUAUUAUGUAAUGCUUAUAUACCAUAGAGUUUUUAGUAGAAAGUAAAUCAGUUUCCUCUGAGGGUUAUUAGUAACAAUGUACUUCCUUAAAUUUAGUUUUCAUGAUUGUAAUGGGUGCUGCAAAUGCAUAUGCACAUUGCAAUAAGAUGAGAUGAAUUGUUAAAAACUAUAGCAAAAAGAAAUGUAAACUUGGUUAAAAUCCUUUCACUCUUUGUAUUUUUUUUUAAAGAUUUUUAUUCCUUAAAUGUAAAAUACCUAAUUUUUUGAUGUAAACUCAUUAAAUUCAAAGAAAAAUCA